This 2017-nucleotide long non-coding RNA is filed under the name Homo sapiens (human). Its description in RNAcentral is "HSALNT0298843". The record is from RNAcentral. Lineage: Eukaryota; Metazoa; Chordata; Mammalia; Primates; Hominidae.
UAGCCACUUCCAAAGCCCCUGGAACUCUGGCCCAAGGCUCUCUGACUCCUUCCCAGAUCUUCUCAGCUUAGCGGCUGAAGACUGACGCUGCCCGAUCGCCUUGGAAGCCCUGUAGACAAUUACAGAUGCCGAGCUUCGGGUAACUCUCAGAGUGGAGGGAACUGACUCAGGGCAAGAAGACAGCUUUGACUCCCGAUGAUUUCAUCUCUGACCUGACCAAUCAGCACUCCUGGCUCACUGGCCUCCCCACAUCCACCAAGAUGUCCUUAAAAAUUCUGAUUCCGGAAUGCUCGGGAAGACUGAUUUGAGUAAUAAUAAAACUCUGGUCUUCCACACAGCCAGUUCUGCAUGAAUUACUCUUUCUCUAUUGCAUUUCCCCUGUCUUGAUAAAUCGGCUCUAUCUAAGCAGUGGGCAAAGUGAACCCACUGGGCGGUUACGCUAUGGGCCAGGGUUUGCUGACUACUUCGUAUGUAUAAGGUUAUUUAUUCUUCAUGAUAACAUAAUUUUUAAAAAGGCAUUGUCUUCCCCACUUUACAAAUGAGACAACUAAAGUGCAAAAAGUGUAAGUAACUUUCAAAGAUCACAGAAUUUGAAUGCGAUGGCCAGGGCUGAGUCCAUGCUCUAGACAGUAGUGUUCAACCUCUUCCCUUGGUGCUACCAGCUGGGGCCUGUACUAGUUUUCUAUCCUCACCCUUGCACCAUGACUUGGAGUCUCUCUGGAAGCUGACAGGAGAAUUUCAGAGAAGGCACGACGCAUCAGUGCCACUGGGAGGAAAGAAGCUUUUGUUUGAUCCUCUAAGCCCCAGUUGGAACCAAUCUUCGCAGUGGUGUUGGCAGCCUCAGGACUCUCUGGGGACUUUCCCAUUCUGGAAACUGAAGAUCUGCUUAAGCGCUGCACAGGUGACAGUUACCCGAUCCUCGGCUAGCUCUUUGCUGUGGUGGCCAAGAAAAUGCUCAUUAAGUUUGGAGUUCUGUUUCCUUAGUUCCUUGUCCUGACAGCCUAAAUGAUUUCAGAUUUUUCCAGUAGUGUGCUCUUCUCCCACCUACAAAACAAAAUGUACAUGUGCUUCCUAGGUUAAGGGAUGGUUUUAUUUAGGUCCAACUGGAUGGUGGGAACUGAGAAAUACUGCAUUCGAGGACCGGGGCAAGUUCUGAAGCUCCUAAGCAGUGGGUGCCCACGGAGAAUACAUUUCAGGUCCAUUAUUCAUGACUUAAGUUGAUGUUCUCAAGCAUUAGGCCAAAGACCUGAAAAAUACAAUAAUCCCCGAGAAAUGUACUGCCCAGAAUGUCAUAUUAUCCCACAAGGAGGAAUGCCUAACCAAGACUAGGAAAAGGACAAGGCCAAACCCCUUGCUGGGAUGUACAAAGUAUAAUUGCAAAUUGUCAGUAAUGAAGAAUGCCGCAUGGUCAGUUGUGUUUACUGGAACUUGUCUAGUGAUAUCACUGACAGUCAGCAAGGGAGGUCAGGUUCCUGCUGCCUCACGGCCUCCCAUAAAAGACAGGAGUAAACUUCUUUGAGUAUAAUGAGUCUCCCUUUUCCUGUUCCUCUCUCCUUCCAUGUAUACCUGCUGCUUUCUUUCGAACUAGAAAUCUAUUUCAUUUUGUUUGGAGAAUAAAGUCUUUGGUAGAUGCUAGUUACUGAAUUCAUGUGCUGCUUAAGCUCAGAAGACACACGUGGACAGAAACCCUCCUACAGGGAAGUCGAGACUUUCCCUCUGAAAGUUCAAGUCUAAAUCUGUUGAAAUGAAUUUAUAAGAAAUAUAUUAACAGAAAAUAAGAUGCACAAAUGUAUUAAUGUGCACAUGGACACGAGAGUCACACAAGUACAAGACUCAAAGAAGGGCCAGAUGGUUGAGGCUUAUAUACUCUCUUCAUAGAAGAGAGGGAGAUGGGGAAAAUGAAAGCAAUUUACGGGAUUGCAAAUAAUUUUUAGGGGAAUUGAGAGGACUUGGGAGGCAGAUAUUAUCUUGUAAAUAUUCUUAGGAAACUGAAUGGGACCUGCAAGUUACAGGAAAG